Molecule: long non-coding RNA, 618 nt
Organism: Malania oleifera
Lineage: Eukaryota; Viridiplantae; Streptophyta; Magnoliopsida; Santalales; Ximeniaceae
Exons: 3
Source: RefSeq, a predicted model, not a curated record
UAGUUUCAUCCUCACCAUUUUUCUUCUGAUCCUCACCGAUUCUCUUCUCCGUUCCCUUACCCGCGGGAAAGAUGCCUUCGGAAGAUGCAAAGGCAGUGAAGAAGGAGGAGGAGGAGGAUUUCAAAGAAGAAGACGAAGACGAAGACUAAAACCAAAGCCUCGGUUCUAUUCUCGUCGAGGGCCGCAAGGAGAAGAAGGAUGCUAAGCCCGUCAAGAAAGAGAAGGUCGUCGAAGACCAAGAAGAUCGCAAGAAGGCACCUGCCAAUGCUGCCCCCAAGUCUCGCUUUAAGCAAGCUAAGGUGAAGAAGGAAGAAAAACAGGAUGAUUGCAAUGACGACGACGACUAUGAUCUUGAUAAGCCCCUUGCUAAAAAGAACAUCAACAAGGCCGAUGAGCAGCAGCUGCAGAAGAAGAAAAAAAAGAAGGAAGACUUGGAGGAGACGAAGAAGAAGAGGGAGAGGAAGGUGUAUGAUUUGCCUGGUCACAAGCGAGACCCUCCAGAGGAAAGGGACCCAUUGAGAAUUUUCUAUGAAACGCUGCACAAGCAAGUGCUCAACAGUGAAAUGGCCGCAUUCUGGUAUGCAAUUUAUCCCCGCUAACUGUGUUAUCUUCUCCGUG